RNAcentral lists this non-coding RNA (65 nucleotides) under Alcaligenaceae bacterium. Lineage: Bacteria; Pseudomonadati; Pseudomonadota; Betaproteobacteria; Burkholderiales; Alcaligenaceae. The record is from RNAcentral.
UCGCGAAACGCCCCGUGAGGGGCGUCUGCCUGGCGCGGUGGCCAGGCACUGAUGAGCAGCCAGAG